AGUUAAAAAGAGCAAAGGCCGCUCGUUAGGCUCAUGUCCUAAAGGUUGUUGGUUCGAAUCCAGCUUUAACUA
This 72-nucleotide transfer RNA is filed under the name Helicotheca tamesis. RNAcentral describes it as "tRNA-Met". It matches the Rfam family "tRNA". From Rfam's summary of the family: Transfer RNA (tRNA) molecules are approximately 80 nucleotides in length. Their secondary structure includes four short double-helical elements and three loops (D, anti-codon, and T loops). The record is from RNAcentral. Lineage: Eukaryota; Bacillariophyta; Thalassiosirophyceae; Lithodesmiales; Lithodesmiaceae.